This is a non-coding RNA of Vicia faba (fava bean), 342 nucleotides long. Lineage: Eukaryota; Viridiplantae; Streptophyta; Magnoliopsida; Fabales; Fabaceae. The record is from the annotation of a GenBank genome assembly.
AUGGGGUUACCAAAGAAAUCUCAAGUGGAAACCGGGUUAGAAAAUUCAGAGAAAAAUAAAAAAUGGCUCAUCAAUUUAAGAACACCUUUGAAUUUGAAGCCAAUAUACACAAUUCCUUUGAAGAUAAGUGAACAAGAGGAAAGUAUCAUGGAGGAAGAGUGUUCAACAACACCAAGAGGGGAAGGAUCAAGAAUUCCAACAUGUUUGAUAUGUCCACCAGCUCCGAGGAAGCGAAAAUCGUCUUUGAAACGGAAUUAUCGCGGUAAAACAAGAGAGUUUUUCAAUCCACCUGAGUUAGAAACUGUGUUCAUACGCCAUGUUGAAAGAGCUGUAGCUAAUUGA